AGCGUAGACGGUGUGGCAAGUCUGAUGUGAAAGGCAUGGGCUCAACCUGUGGACUGCAUUGGAAACUGUCAUACUUGAGUGCCGGAGGGGUAAGCGGAAUUCCUAGUGUAACGGUGAAAUGCGUAGAUAUUAGGAGGAACACCAGUGGCGAAGGCGGCUUACUGGACGGUAACUGACGUUGAGGCCCGAAAGCGUGGGGAGCAAACA
This 207-nucleotide ribosomal RNA is filed under the name uncultured bacterium. Its description in RNAcentral is "partial 16S ribosomal RNA". It matches the Rfam family "Bacterial small subunit ribosomal RNA", at positions 568 to 774 of the family's 1533-position model. The record is from RNAcentral.